RNAcentral lists this ribosomal RNA (468 nucleotides) under uncultured bacterium. RNAcentral describes it as "partial 16S ribosomal RNA". It matches the Rfam family "Bacterial small subunit ribosomal RNA", at positions 28 to 507 of the family's 1533-position model. The record is from RNAcentral.
GACGAACGCUGGCGGCGUGCUUAACACAUGCAAGUCGAACGGAAAGGCCCUGCUUUUGUGGGGUGCUCGAGUGGCGAACGGGUGAGUAACACGUGAGUAACCUGCCCUUGACUUUGGGAUAACUUCAGGAAACUGGGGCUAAUACCGGAUAGGAGCUCCUUCUGCAUGGUGGGGGUUGGAAAGUUUCGGCGGUUGGGGAUGGACUCGCGGCUUAUCAGCUUGUUGGUGGGGUAGUGGCUUACCAAGGCUUUGACGGGUAGCCGGCCUGAGAGGGUGACCGGCCACAUUGGGACUGAGAUACGGCCCAGACUCCUACGGGAGGCAGCAGUGGGGAAUAUUGCACAAUGGGCGGAGGCCUGAUGCAGCAACGCCGCGUGCGGGAUGACGGCCUUCGGGUUGUAAACCGCUUUCGCCUGUGACGAAGCGUGAGUGACGGUAAUGGGUAAAGAAGCACCGGCUAACUACGUG